This 253-nucleotide ribosomal RNA is filed under the name uncultured bacterium. Its description in RNAcentral is "partial 16S ribosomal RNA". It matches the Rfam family "Bacterial small subunit ribosomal RNA", at positions 524 to 776 of the family's 1533-position model. The record is from RNAcentral.
UACGUAGGGGGCAAGCGUUGUCCGGAUUUAUUGGGCGUAAAGAGCGUGUAGGCGGCCAGAUAGGUCCGUUGUGAAAACUCGAGGCUCAACCUCGAGACGCCGAUGGAAACCAUCUGGCUAGAGUCCGGAAGAGGAGAGUGGAAUUCCUGGUGUAGCGGUGAAAUGCGCAGAUAUCGGGAGGAACACCGGUGGCGAAGGCGGUUCUCUGGGCCUUACCUGACGCUGAGGAGCGAAAGCGUGGGGAGCGAACAGG